Molecule: long non-coding RNA, 1613 nt
Organism: Daucus carota subsp. sativus
Lineage: Eukaryota; Viridiplantae; Streptophyta; Magnoliopsida; Apiales; Apiaceae
Exons: 4
Source: RefSeq, a predicted model, not a curated record
UCGACAGGGCAAAAAUAAGCCUGAUUACAAUUAGCAGGCUAAACACCUUAUAUUGAAAAAUUCUCUUCCACGAAACCCCCAAAAGCUCUUUAUAAUAGUCAACUGCUAUAAAAAUGAUUUCUCUAUGAGUAGAGUGAAGGACUCCUGCUUCAUCAUCUUCGAGAAAAUCUUUUUAGAAUUCCAUUUACCACGGCAUGCUUGGAAGAACCUAUUGUUGUUUUUAUUACCACUGUCCAACCAUUGAACCCGAGAUUUUUGUUUCAAGAAAAUUUCUUUAGCUUUAAGAGUUUCACGGUAAGCAGUUUUCAGACAUUUUUCUUCUUGAAAUCAAACUAAAUCUGGGUUCCCUGGCAUCUUACUCUAAAAAGUUUCCAAAUUUUGCCUAGAGGCUUGGACAAGAUUAUGAAGGUUCCCUUUUGCAUUGUUGAGAUUAAUAAGAGCUUCUUGAACAUGCUUCAAUUUUAAAGCUUCAAACAGAAAAGAUUGGUGUUCUAACAGAUGGUUGAAAACCUAAAAAGGUUUAAUUAAUUGCAAUUCUAGGGAGCCCCAAUUGAACGAUAGGGUUGUCAACACUCAACAGUACUAUACCACCAAAUCAGAGAUGAGCCAAUACUUCUUAUAACAGCCAAUUAGUGUUGCUAAACAAUCAGAAAAAUCAGUCAUGUCUGGAUUCUAGCUAUCCGAACCUCCCUGUAUUUUAGAUCCAUUGUAGAGUUAAAGUCUCCACUUAUAAUCCAGGCCAGUUCAGGCUUAGACAAUACUGAAUACACCAUGCACACUAUUCAGCUCUAGCCAUAGCACUUGCCUUUGACUAUAUGUAUUUUAACUGUAAACAAAGGAAACCUUUUAUUUCAAAUCCAUAUUGAACUCACACUGAUAAUAAAUCUUUUUACUUUUCAGCCCUUGGCUGAUGAUGAUGUUGAUUUGACAGUGAUAAGUUGCCUUACUUUAGCAUGCAAAAUGCAGAAAAGAAGAUUUGAUACUACUGCAUUUCUGUUGGAGCAGGGGCUGACAUAUAAUUUGGAAGAAGUUGUUACUAUGGAGCGGCAUAUUCUGAGAUCUCUGGAGGGUGUUAUUGGACAGUUGACUCCAUUUGAUUUUCUCCAGUGUUUAGCCCAUGACUUACUCCAGUCCAGUGAUAUCAUACGGGCUUAUCAUAUUGUAGUAUGAAGCAAAGCCAAUAUUUUGUUUGCACCAUUUACUCCAUUUACUAUUGCAUUAUCUGCAAUUCUCUGCACUAUUAGCUAUGAUGAUCACAAAUCGGCUGCUAUAGAAGAACUUCAAGCUCAUGGAGUGCAACACAUGGACGAGUGCAGAAAUCUGAUGGAAGCAAUUUAUCAAACAAAAUUAAAUAGUUUGAUUGCGGGAUCCUCAACUGUUUCUGAAGAUUACUCUCCAUUGAAUGUUGCCCUAGGGUGGAUUGACCAAAUCCCUGAAGAUAGAGUUGGCUUAUUUUAUGGGGCAUUAUCAUGCAUAUGCCACUGGUUGAGGUGUUAAUCUGCUGGUUUUGUAAACAGCAAUUACUAUUCCUGCUCUGAAGCGCCUACUUUACUGAACUUCUUUAUGUAAAUAUGAAAGUAUGGUAUGUAAAUAUGAAAGUAUAUAGUUGUUUC